Molecule: ribosomal RNA, 546 nt
Filed under: Fusarium solani
Lineage: Eukaryota; Fungi; Ascomycota; Sordariomycetes; Hypocreales; Nectriaceae
Description: eukaryotic LSU rRNA
Rfam family: 5.8S ribosomal RNA (bases 159-312)
Source: RNAcentral
GGNNGNNUANGAGNUAUANGCUCAUCAACCCUGUGAACAUACCUAAAACGUUGCCUCGGCGGGAACAGACGGCCCCGUAACACGGGCCGCCCCCGCCAGAGGACCCCCUAACUCUGUUUCUAUAAUGUUUCUUCUGAGUAAACAAGCAAAUAAAUUAAAACUUUCAACAACGGAUCUCUUGGCUCUGGCAUCGAUGAAGAACGCAGCGAAAUGCGAUAAGUAAUGUGAAUUGCAGAAUUCAGUGAAUCAUCGAAUCUUUGAACGCACAUUGCGCCCGCCAGUAUUCUGGCGGGCAUGCCUGUUCGAGCGUCAUUACAACCCUCAGGCCCCCGGGCCUGGCGUUGGGGAUCGGCGGAAGCCCCCUGCGGGCACAACGCCGUCCCCCAAAUACAGUGGCGGUCCCGCCGCAGCUUCCAUUGCGUAGUAGCUAACACCUCGCAACUGGAGAGCGGCGCGGCCACGCCGUAAAACACCCAACUUCUGAAUGUUGACCUCGAAUCAGGUAGGAAUACCCGCUGAACUUAAGCAUAUCAAUAAGCGGAGAAA